AUUGAACGCUGGCGGCAGGCCUAACACAUGCAAGUCGAGCGGAUGAAGGGAGCUUGCUCCUGGAUUCAGCGGUGGACGGGUGAGUAAUGCCUAGGAAUCUGCCUGGUAGUGGGGGAUAACGUCCGGAAACGGGCGCUAAUACCGCAUACGUCCUGAGGGAGAAAGUGGGGGAUCUUCGGACCUCACGCUAUCAGAUGAGCCUAGGUCGGAUUAGCUAGUUGGUGGGGUAAAGGCCUACCAAGGCGACGAUCCGUAACUGGUCUGAGAGGAUGAUCAGUCACACUGGAACUGAGACACGGUCCAGAGUCCUACGGGAGGCAGCAGUGGGGAAUAUUGGACAAUGGGCGAAAGCCUGAUCCAGCCAUGCCGCGUGUGUGAAGAAGGUCUUCGGAGUGUAAAGCACUUUAAGUUGGGAGGAAGGGCAGUAAGUUAAUACCUUGCUGUUUUGACGUUACCAACAGAAUAAGCACCGGCUAACUUCGUG
RNAcentral lists this ribosomal RNA (484 nucleotides) under uncultured bacterium. RNAcentral describes it as "partial 16S ribosomal RNA". It matches the Rfam family "Bacterial small subunit ribosomal RNA", at positions 30 to 507 of the family's 1533-position model. The record is from RNAcentral.